AGAGGUGGAAGAAACCCGAGACGCUCCAAAGUCAACGCAAGCAAAGGGGAGUGCGGGUCGGGGAGGAAUAUUCUUUUGGAAACGUAAUAUUGGUCUUGGGGCUCUCCAGCCCUUUGGGACUUCCAAUGAGAUCUUAGAAGCGGCAGAAGCAUCGUGAGGGCGGCAGCCCAGGGCCAGCCACGAUUUGAACGCUCUGCCUUGCAGCUCUUCUGGACCGAGGAGCCCAAAGCCCUGCCCUCACCAUUCACCAGAAUCUGUCUUAGGAAGCUGUUCUGAGGAUCUCCAUCCCCCCAGAAAGAACUGGCCGUUGUGGAAAUCCAAGUGCUGUGGGAAGAGCAGCAUGGAGGUGGGCUGAGGUUAGAAGGUGCAGAGCAUGGAAGAAGAUUGUGGGCUAAGUAUUGGACAUCUGUUCUUGAAUAGUCCCUGAGCCUGCCAUAGGAAAGGAAGUUCUCCUGGGUAAGUGAUUGGACUUUUCCUUCUCCUCUAAUAACAUUUUUUCUUGGGCUGUGGCCGAACCUUAGGAUUCUGGUUCAUCCCUUAUUCAGACCAGGU
RNAcentral lists this long non-coding RNA (552 nucleotides) under Piliocolobus tephrosceles (Ugandan red Colobus). RNAcentral's name for it is "lncRNA (ENSPTEG00000014482.1)". Lineage: Eukaryota; Metazoa; Chordata; Mammalia; Primates; Cercopithecidae. The record is from RNAcentral.